Molecule: ribosomal RNA, 469 nt
Filed under: uncultured bacterium
Lineage: Bacteria
Description: partial 16S ribosomal RNA
Rfam family: Bacterial small subunit ribosomal RNA
Source: RNAcentral
GACGAACGCUGGCGGCGUGCUUAACACAUGCAAGUCGAACGGAAAGGGCCCUGCUUUUGUGGGGUGCUCGAGUGGCGAACGGGGGAGUAACACGUGAGUAACCUGCCCUUGACUUUGGGAUAACUUCAGGAAACUGGGGCUAAUACCGGAUAGGAGCUCCUGCUGCAUGGGGGGGGUUGGAAAGUUUCGGCGGGGGGGGGUGGACUCGCGGCUUAUCAGGUUGUUGGUGGGGUAGUGGCUUACCAAGGCUUUGACGGGUCGCCGGCCUGAGAGGGUGACCGGCCACAUUGGGACUGAGAUAGGGCCAAGACUCCAACGGGAGGCAGAAGUGGGGAAUUUUGCACAAUGGGCGGAAGCCUGAUGCAGCAACGCCGGGUGCGGGAUGCGGGCCUUGGGGUUGUAAACCGCUUUGGCCUGUGACGAAGCGUGAGUGACGGUAAUGGGUAAAGAAGCACCGGCUAACUACGUG